RNAcentral lists this ribosomal RNA (492 nucleotides) under uncultured bacterium. RNAcentral describes it as "partial 16S ribosomal RNA". It matches the Rfam family "Bacterial small subunit ribosomal RNA", at positions 29 to 507 of the family's 1533-position model. The record is from RNAcentral.
AGUGAACGCUGGCGGUAGGCCUAACACAUGCAAGUCGAACGGCAGCACCGUAAGAGCUUGCUCUUCCGGGUGGCGAGUCGCGGACGGGAGAGGAAAACAACGGAAUCUACUUUUUCGUGUGGGUUAACGAAGCGAAACUUACUCUCAUACCGCAUACGACCUUGGGGGGAAAGCAGGGGAUCUUCUGACCUUGCGCGAUUGAAUGCGCCGAUGUCGGAUUUGCUAGUUGGGGGGGUAAAGGCCCACCAGGGCGAGGAUCCGUAGCUCGUGUGAGAGGAGGAUCAGCCACACUGGAACUGAGACACGGUCCAGACUCCUACGGGAGGGAGCAGUGGGGAAUAUUGGACAAUGGGCGCAAGCCUGAUCCAGCGAUACCGCGUGGGUUGAGAAGGCCUUCGGGUUGGAAAGCCCUUUUGUUGGGAAAGAAAAGCAGCAGGUUAAUACCCCGCUGUUCUGACGGUACCCAAAGAAUAAGCACCGGCUAACUUCGUG